UUAAGUCUACUACUUUCCUUAUUAACUUCUCUCUAAAUACUGGUGCUCUCAUAACGAUAGACAAGCAGACUCAAGGGGAUGGUGCACCUAGCAACUGCUGUCUCACUUGUUUCAACUACAUUUAUGCAUUUCUUAAUGAAGACAAAAGCCCUGAAAGUGCUUAUCAAUGAGGUUAAAGCCUUAUGAACUACCUGAUUUCUUCCUUUAGUCUAACUGAAGUUCCUUCCCUUUAGUACUCCUUUACUUUAGUGACCUGGUAUCUAGAAGACAGUAAAAUUGUUUGCUAUAAUUUCUUAGGCUGAGCUUUUGUAAACAAAGGACUCUCAAUGAGAACCUGCUCCCCAGUGAUCAUCAGAUAGUGAUGUUAAAUUUUGA
Molecule: long non-coding RNA, 375 nt
Organism: Sapajus apella (tufted capuchin)
Lineage: Eukaryota; Metazoa; Chordata; Mammalia; Primates; Cebidae
Exons: 3
Source: RefSeq, a predicted model, not a curated record